AUGAGCAUGACUGGGGAGGAGUACAGGGUGGCUGGGAUUCACCCAGAUUGCGACACCAUUUUCCUGGUUUCACAUGGAGGUGAUACCUUGGUAGCGUACGAUAUGCAACAUCAGAAAGUUGGUUGUAUCCUUAAUCUUGAGAAGAACACACAACGAUUUCUACCUUAUGUUCCUCUGUUCUCGGAGUCAUUAGCAGAUGGAGAUGGGCGGUAG
RNAcentral lists this ribosomal RNA (213 nucleotides) under Triticum aestivum (bread wheat). RNAcentral's name for it is "partial small subunit ribosomal RNA". Lineage: Eukaryota; Viridiplantae; Streptophyta; Magnoliopsida; Poales; Poaceae. The record is from RNAcentral.